UUCACUUCAUCACUCUUAUUUUUUUCAACUUCCACACUUUCUUUAUUUUCUACUUCACCAUUUUUUUCAUUCUUUUCAACUUCUUCCUCACUCCAUUCCCCAACUUCACCAUCAAUGCUAUCCUCUAUUUUUUUUCUCCUCAUCUUUUUUCUCAUCCUCUCUUUUUUCACUCUCAUCUCUUUUUUUACUCUCACUAAUCA
RNAcentral lists this long non-coding RNA (200 nucleotides) under Lathyrus oleraceus (garden pea). RNAcentral's name for it is "Pisum sativum (pea) long non-coding RNA (PSAT_LNC032172)". The record is from RNAcentral. Lineage: Eukaryota; Viridiplantae; Streptophyta; Magnoliopsida; Fabales; Fabaceae.